Molecule: small RNA, 652 nt
Filed under: uncultured fungus
Lineage: Eukaryota; Fungi
Description: eukaryotic LSU rRNA
Rfam family: 5.8S ribosomal RNA (bases 222-376)
Source: RNAcentral
UGACUGCGGAGGAUCAUUACCGAACCGUCAACACGAGUUGUUGCUGGCCCCUCGAAAGGAGGGCAUGUGCACGCUCUGUUUACAUAUCCACUCACACCUGUGCACUCUCUGUAGUUCUGUGGCCUGAGGGACCCUGUCCCUCUGCUGCGGUUCUACGUCUUUAUACACACCCUGUAGUGAAGUCUUAUGGAAUGUGUGCCGCGUUUAACGCAAUGAAAUACAACUUUCAGCAACGGAUCUCUUGGCUCUCGCAUCGAUGAAGAACGCAGCGAAAUGCGAUAAGUAAUGUGAAUUGCAGAAUUCAGUGAAUCAUCGAAUCUUUGAACGCACCUUGCGCCCCUUGGCUAUUCCGAAGGGCAUGCCUGUUUGAGUAUCAUGAACACCUCAACCGUCGUGGUUCGCCACGAUUGGCUUGGACUUUGGAGGUUCUGCUGGCCCCCCUGUGGUCGGCUCCUCUCAAAUGAAUUAGCUUACCAGUGUUUGGUGGCGUUGCAGGUGUGAUAACUAUCUACGCUUGUGGCCGUCCGCCAUACAACCUUCAGCGAUGAGGGUUCGCUGGGGCUCACAGAUGUCUCUCCUGAGCGAAGACAGCUUUUUGAACGUUCGAUCUCAAAUCAGGUAGGACUACCCGCUGAACUUAAGCAUAUCAAUA